GUGUUGUAUGAAAGGAGAGAUGGUUAGCGCUCCACUUGAAAUGGCGGGAGUGUGCUCUUUGCACAGGAGUUCCUGAUUAGAGACGCUUGUUUAGUGCACUAUAUAGUGCAUUCACUAUUUUGU
Small nuclear RNA from Oryzias melastigma (Indian medaka), 123 nucleotides. The record is from Ensembl. NCBI's taxonomy places the organism in Eukaryota, Metazoa, Chordata, Actinopteri, Beloniformes, Adrianichthyidae.